GACGAACGCUGGCGGCGUGCUUAACACAUGCAAGUCGAACGAUGAAGCUGGAGCUUGCUCCGGUGGAUUAGUGGCGAACGGGUGAGUAACACGUGAGCAAUCUGCCCUUGACUCUGGGAUAACUGCGGGAAACUGUAGCUAAUACCGGAUAUGAGGCUCGAAGGCAUCUUCGGGUCUGGAAAGAAUUUCGGUCAAGGAUGAGCUCGCGGCCUAUCAGCUUGUUGGUGAGGUAAUGGCUCACCAAGGCGACGACGGGUAGCCGGCCUGAGAGGGUGACCGGCCACACUGGGACUGAGACACGGCCCAGACUCCUACGGGAGGCAGCAGUGGGGAAUAUUGCACAAUGGGCGAAAGCCUGAUGCAGCAACGCCGCGUGAGGGAUGAAGGCCUUCGGGUUGUAAACCUCUUUUAGCAGGGAAGAAGCGAAAGUGACGGUACCUGCAGAAAAAGCACCGGCUAACUACGUGCCAGCCGCCGCGGUAA
Molecule: ribosomal RNA, 483 nt
Filed under: uncultured bacterium
Lineage: Bacteria
Description: partial 16S ribosomal RNA
Rfam family: Bacterial small subunit ribosomal RNA
Source: RNAcentral